Molecule: unclassified non-coding RNA, 464 nt
Filed under: Hevea brasiliensis (rubber tree)
Lineage: Eukaryota; Viridiplantae; Streptophyta; Magnoliopsida; Malpighiales; Euphorbiaceae
Source: RNAcentral
AGCUCACUCAUUACAGCACGAGCAGGGACGCCCUUACUCAAUGCAUGCACGUGAUCCCGAUAAGUGCUAACAACAUAAUCCUCCUUCUUCAAAAGCUUGAUGAACCCAGUUGACACAGCCUCUUGACCGUUAUAGAGAUGAACAAAACCAAACAUUUUUCCACUGUAAUACAUCGUCCUCAAAGGCUCUGCCCAACACCAUAUCCUCAUAUAGCUCCAAGCCUUCUUCUUUUGUGAUCAACAGAUUGGAGGUUGAUUUGAGCUUCUUUUCCUUAACGGCUUCAGAAACGGCAACAACAAGUGAUGGACGGUGGGAAUUGGGUUGAUUCAAUUUGGGAAAAGAAGUGAAGCGAAGUUUGCGAGUAGAUCCUAGGAAAGAAGUGGAACUUUUGAGAGGAUCGAAAACAGAUUGCUUUCCGUGAGAUCUGGAGGUGGAGGUAUUGAGAGGCAAAGGCUGAGUGAACU